GACGAACGCUGGCGGCGUGCUUAACACAUGCAAGUCGAACGAAGUGGCGAACGGGUGAGUAACGCGUAAUCAACCUGCACUUCAGAGGGGGACAACAGUUGGAAACGACUGCUAAUACCGCAUACUGAAGGAGGGGAUUGCGUCUGAUAAGGGGGGUGGGGGGGAAACGGCCGACCAAGGCGAUGAUCAGUAGCCGGUUUGAGAGGAUGAACGGCCACAUUGGGACUGAGACCCGGCCCAGACUCCUACGGGAGGCAGCAGUGGGGAAUCUGCGGAAAUGGAGGAAAGGCUGACGGAGCAACGCCGCGUGAGUGAGGACGGCCUUCGGGUUGUAAAGCUCUGUUAAUCGGGACGCGGUACCGGAAUAGAAAGCCACGGCUAACUACGUGCCAGCAGCCGCGGUAAUUC
RNAcentral lists this ribosomal RNA (408 nucleotides) under uncultured bacterium. RNAcentral's name for it is "partial 16S ribosomal RNA". It matches the Rfam family "Bacterial small subunit ribosomal RNA", at positions 28 to 526 of the family's 1533-position model. The record is from RNAcentral.